GAGCCCGUAGCAUAGUCUGGUUGGUGCGCUCGACUGAUAAUCGAGUGGUCGCGUGUUCGAAUCACGCCGGGCUCA
This 75-nucleotide transfer RNA is filed under the name Candidatus Woesearchaeota archaeon. RNAcentral's name for it is "tRNA-Ile". It matches the Rfam family "tRNA". From Rfam's summary of the family: Transfer RNA (tRNA) molecules are approximately 80 nucleotides in length. Their secondary structure includes four short double-helical elements and three loops (D, anti-codon, and T loops). Further hydrogen bonds mediate the characteristic L-shaped molecular structure. tRNAs have two regions of fundamental functional importance: the anti-codon, which is responsible for specific mRNA codon recognition, and the 3' end, to which the tRNAs corresponding amino acid is attached (by aminoacyl-tRNA synthetases). tRNAs cope with the degeneracy of the genetic code in two manners: having more than one tRNA (with a specific anti-codon) for a particular amino acid; and 'wobble' base-pairing, i.e. permitting non-standard base-pairing at the 3rd anti-codon position. Lineage: Archaea; Nanobdellati; Candidatus Woesearchaeota. The record is from RNAcentral.